UACAGAGGUGGCAAGCGUUGUUCGGAAUUACUGGGCGUAAGGGCGCGUAGGCGGCCAUCUAAGUCAGACGUGAAAUCCCCCGGCUUAACCUGGGAACUGCGUCUGAUACUGGAAGGCUUGAGUAUGGGAGAGGGAUGUAGAAUUCCAGGUGUAGCGGUGAAAUGCGUAGAUAUCUGGAGGAAUACCGGUGGCGAAGGCGGCAUCCUGGACCAUUACUGACGCUGAGGCGCGAAAGCUAGGGGAGCAAACGGG
This 252-nucleotide ribosomal RNA is filed under the name uncultured bacterium. RNAcentral describes it as "partial 16S ribosomal RNA". It matches the Rfam family "Bacterial small subunit ribosomal RNA", at positions 524 to 776 of the family's 1533-position model. The record is from RNAcentral.